UACGAAGGGGGCUAGCGUUGUUCGGAAUUACUGGGCGUAAAGCGUGCGCAGGCGGCCAUCCAAGUCAGUGGUGAAAGCCCGGAGCUCAACUCCGGAAUUGCCAUUGAAACUGUUCGGCUCGAGUACGAGAGAGGUGAGUGGAAUUCCCAGUGUAGAGGUGAAAUUCGUAGAUAUUGGGAAGAACACCGGUGGCGAAGGCGGCUCACUGGCUCGUUACUGACGCUCAGGCACGACAGCGUGGGGAUCAAACAGG
RNAcentral lists this ribosomal RNA (253 nucleotides) under uncultured bacterium. Its description in RNAcentral is "partial 16S ribosomal RNA". It matches the Rfam family "Bacterial small subunit ribosomal RNA", at positions 524 to 776 of the family's 1533-position model. The record is from RNAcentral.